RNAcentral lists this unclassified non-coding RNA (166 nucleotides) under uncultured Eurotiales. RNAcentral's name for it is "sequence contains ITS2". The record is from RNAcentral. Lineage: Eukaryota; Fungi; Ascomycota; Eurotiomycetes; Eurotiales.
CUGCCCUCAAGCACGGCUUGGGUGUUGGGUUCCGUCCCCCUCCAAAGGGACGGGCCUGAAAGGCAGUGGCGGUGUCAUGUCCGGUUCUCGAGCGUAUGGGGCUCUGUCACUCCGCUCUGGUAGGAACGGCCGACAGUCUGCCGACUCUCCAACCUUCUUUUUUCCA